Molecule: unclassified non-coding RNA, 116 nt
Organism: Pongo abelii (Sumatran orangutan)
Lineage: Eukaryota; Metazoa; Chordata; Mammalia; Primates; Hominidae
Rfam family: Metazoan signal recognition particle RNA
About the family: The signal recognition particle (SRP) is a universally conserved ribonucleoprotein. It is involved in the co-translational targeting of proteins to membranes. The eukaryotic SRP consists of a 300-nucleotide 7S RNA and six proteins: SRPs 72, 68, 54, 19, 14, and 9.
Source: Ensembl
GCCAGGUGUGGUGGCUCACUCCUGUAAUCCCAGCAUUUGGGAGGCUGAGGCGGGUGGAUCACUUGAGGUCAGGAGUUUGAGACCAGCCUGACCAACAUGGAGAAACCCCGUCUCUA